UCAUUCUGUUGUGCUCAAUAGCCGGAAAUGAGGGCAGACAGGACGGAGAACUACCGAGGCGAAACACCUGUGGAAUACUCUCAGGAGGAACAGUCAUUGCUGUGUGAGGGUUCAAAUUCAGCUGUUAGCAUGGAACUUUCAGAACCUGUUGUAGAAAAUGGAGAAACGGAAAUGUCCCCAGAAGAAUCAUGGGAGCACAAAGAAGAAAUAAGUGAAGCAGAGCGAGGGGGUGGUUCCUUGGGAGAUGGAAGACCACCAGAGGAAAGUGCCCAAGAAAUGAUGGAGGAGAAAGAGGAGAUACCAAAUCCUAAAUCUGUGGUUGCACCUACAGGUGCUCCUCAAAAGGAGCAUGUAAAUGUAGUGUUCAUUGGCCAUGUGGAUGCUGGCAAGUCAACCAUUGAAGGACAAAUCAUGUAUUUGACUGGAAUGGCUGACAGAAGGACACUUGAGAAGUAUGAAAGAGAAGCUAAAGAAAAAAAACAGAGAAACUUGGUACUUGUUUUGGGCCUUAGACACAAAUCAGGAAGAAUGAGACAAGGGUAAAACAGUAGAAGUGGGUCGUGCCUAUUUUGAAACUGAAAAGAAGCAUUUCAUAAUUCUGGAUGCCCCUGGACACAAGAGUUUUGUCCCAAAUUUGAUUGGUGGUACCUCCCAAGCUGAUUUGGCUGUGCUGGUCAUUUCAGCCAGGAAAGGGGAAUUCAAAACUGGGUUUGAAAAAGGAGGACAGACAAGAGAACAUGCAAUGUUGGCAAAGACAGCAGGUGUAAAACACUUAAUUGUGCUUAUUAAUAAGAUGGAUGACCCAACAGUAAAUUGGAGUAAUGAGAGGUAUGAAGAACGUAAAGAGAAACUAGUGCCAUUUUUUUAAAAAGUGGGCUUCCUUCCCAAAAAGGACAUUCAUUUUAUGCCCUGCUCAGGACUGACUGGAGCGAAUCUCAAAGAGCAAUCAGAUUUCUGUCCUUGGUACAUUGGAUUACCAUUUAUUCCAUAUCUGGAUAAUUUGCCAAACUUCAAUAGAUCAGUUGAUGGACCAAUCAGGCUGCCAAUUGUGGAUAAGUACAAGGAUAUGGGCACUGUGGUCCUGGGGAGGCUGGAGUCAGGAUCUAUUUGUAAAGACCAGCAGCUUGUGAUGAUGCCAAACAAGCACAAUGUGGAAGUUCUUGAAUACUUUCCGAUGAUGUAUAACCUGAUACUGUAGCCCCAGGUGAAAACCUCAAAAUUAGACUGAAAGGCAUUGAAGAAGAGGAGAUUCUUCCAGGAUUCAUACUUUGUGAUCCUAAUAAUCUUUGUCAUUCUGGACACACAUUUGAUGCCCAGAUAGUGAUUAUAGAGCACAAAUCCAUCAUCUGCCCAGGGUAUAAUGUGGUGCUGCACAUUCACACCUGUAUUGAGGAAGUCGAAAUAACAGCCUUAAUCUGCUUGGUGGACCAAAAAAUCAGGAGAAAAAAGUAAGACUCGACCCUGUUUUAUGAAACAAGAUCAAGUGUGCAUUGCUCACUUAAGGACAGCAGGAACCAUCUGCCUUGAGACCUUCAAAGACUUCCCUCAGAUGGGUCGUUUUACCUUAAGAGAUGAGGGUAAAACCAUUGCAAUUGGAAAAGUUCUGAAACUGGUUCCAGAGAAAGACUAAGCAUUUCCUUUGAUGACCCUGCACAAUACUGUGAGGAGUACUGACCGCAAAAGCCUACUUCACACCACCUUCUCUUAUUUUCUGCCCAUUGAUAAACCUCUCCCCAUAUUUUGCAAAGAGAAAAUUCACAGCAAAAGUCCACAUUAUGUCAGCUUUCUCAUAUUGAGAGCUCUGCUAUGCCACUGUUGAAUUUUUUCCAAGAUUCUCUCACCCCUUUCAAACUCUGCUUCCUUGGACAGAUUUGGCAAUAGCUUUGUAAGUGAUGUGGACAUAAUUGCCUAUAAUAAUGAAAACCUACAGGGAUUUUUUUAUUUUUCAUGUUCCCCUUAGGCACAUUUAGUAUUUUUCCCCAGGCAGAUCAUUUUGAGUGUGCGUGUGUGUGUGCACAUGUUACAAAGACAUCUACCAUGUUAAUAAAAUAAUCAAUUUGAAAAA
Carlito syrichta (Philippine tarsier) is the source of this 2065-nucleotide RNA transcript. It is a transcript of the gene named eukaryotic peptide chain release factor GTP-binding subunit ERF3A pseudogene, with no coding region annotated. The transcript has a single exon. NCBI's taxonomy places the organism in Eukaryota, Metazoa, Chordata, Mammalia, Primates, Tarsiidae. The record is from RefSeq and is a predicted model, not a curated record.